This 330-nucleotide ribosomal RNA is filed under the name uncultured eukaryote. RNAcentral's name for it is "partial 18S ribosomal RNA". It matches the Rfam family "Eukaryotic small subunit ribosomal RNA", at positions 1470 to 1796 of the family's 1831-position model. The record is from RNAcentral.
CCCUUAGAUGUCCUGGGCCGCACGCGCGUUACACUGAUGCAUUCAACGAGCCUAUCCUUGACCGACAGGUCCGGGUAAUCUUUGAAUCUGCAUCGUGACGGGGAUAGAUUAUUGCAAUUAUUAAUCUUCAACGAGGAAUGCCUAGUAGGCGCAAGUCAUCAGCUUGCGUCGAUUACGUCCCUGCCCUUUGUACACACCGCCCGUCGCUACUGCCAACUGAGAUGGGUCCUGAAUUGUUAGGAACGCCCGUCAAGGGGCCUACCCGGUCCCUAGUGCGGUGACGAGAAUAACUGUAAAUGGCAUAUCUUGUAGGGAGUAAAAGUCGUAACA